This 254-nucleotide ribosomal RNA is filed under the name uncultured archaeon. Its description in RNAcentral is "partial 16S ribosomal RNA". It matches the Rfam family "Archaeal small subunit ribosomal RNA", at positions 474 to 727 of the family's 1478-position model. The record is from RNAcentral.
UACCGGCAGCCCGAGUGAUGGCCGAUCUUAUGGGGCCUAAAGCGUCCGUAGCUGGCCGCGCAAGUCUAUCGGAAAAUCCACCCGCUCAACGGGUGGGCGUCCGGUAGAAACUGCGUGGCUUGGGACCGGAAGGCGCGACGGGUACGUCCGGGGUAGGAGUGAAAUCCCGUAAUCCUGGACGGACCGCCGAUGGCGAAAGCACGUCGCGAGAACGGAUCCGACAGUGAGGGACGAAAGCUAGGGUCUCGAACCGG